This 508-nucleotide ribosomal RNA is filed under the name uncultured bacterium. RNAcentral's name for it is "bacterial SSU rRNA". It matches the Rfam family "Bacterial small subunit ribosomal RNA", at positions 1002 to 1509 of the family's 1533-position model. The record is from RNAcentral.
AGAGAUGGAUUGGUGCCUUCGGGAACUGUGAGACAGGUGCUGCAUGGCUGUCGUCAGCUCGUGUUGUGAAAUGUUGGGUUAAGUCCCGCAACGAGCGCAACCCUUAUCCUUUGUUGCCAGCGGUUAGGCCGGGAACUCAAAGGAGACUGCCAGUGAUAAACUGGAGGAAGGUGGGGAUGACGUCAAGUCAUCAUGGCCCUUACGACCAGGGCUACACACGUGCUACAAUGGCGCAUACAAAGAGAAGCAAUCUCGCGAGAGCUAGCGGACCUCAUAAAGUGCGUCGUAGUCCGGAUUGGAGUCUGCAACUCGACUCCAUGAAGUCGGAAUCGCUAGUAAUCGUGAAUCAGAAUGUCCACGGUCGAAUACGUUCCGGGCCUUGUACACACCGCCCGUCACACCAUGGGAGUGGGUUGCAAAAGAAGUAGGUAGCUUAACCUUCGGGAGGGCGCUUACCACUUUGUGAUUCAUGACUGGGGUGAAGUCGUAACAAGGUAAGCGUAGAUGA